GACGAACGCUGGCGGCGUGCUUAACACAUGCAAGUCGAACGGAAAGGCCCUGCUUUUGUGGGGUGCUCGAGUGACGAACGGGUGAGUAACACGUGAGUAACCUGCCCUUGACUUUGGGAUAACUUCAGGAAACUGGGGCUAAUACCGGAUAGGAGCUCCUGCUGCAUGGUGGGGGUUGGAAAGUUUCGGCGGUUGGGGAUGGACUCGCGGCUUAUCAGCUUGUUGGUGGGGUAGUGGCUUACCAAGGCUUUGACGGGUAGCCGGCCUGAGAGGGUGACCGGCCACAUUGGGACUGAGAUACGGACCAGACUCCUACGGGAGGCAGCAGUGGGGAAUAUUGCACAAUGGGCGGAAGCCUGAUGCAGCAACGCCGCGUGCGGGAUGACGGCCUUCGGGUUGUAAACCGCUUUCGCCUGUGACGAAGCGUGAGUGACGGUAAUGGGUAAAGAAGCACCGGCUAACUACGUG
This 468-nucleotide ribosomal RNA is filed under the name uncultured bacterium. RNAcentral's name for it is "partial 16S ribosomal RNA". It matches the Rfam family "Bacterial small subunit ribosomal RNA", at positions 28 to 507 of the family's 1533-position model. The record is from RNAcentral.